AUACGGAGGAUCCGAGCGUUAUCCGGAUUUAUUGGGUUUAAAGGGUGCGCAGGCGGGAGAUUAAGUCGGCGGUGAAAUUUUUCGGCUCAACUGUAAAAGAGCCUUUGAAACUGGUUUUCUUGAGUGUAGAUGAAGGAGGCGGAAUUUGAUGUGUAGCGGUGAAAUGCAUAGAUAUCACGAGGAACUCCGAUUGCGCAGGCAGCUUACUAAACUACUACUGACGCUCAGGCACGAAGGCGUGGGGAUCAAACAGGAUUAGAUACCCUGGUAGUCCACGCAGUAAACGAUGAUUACUAGCUGUUUGCGAUACAAUGUAAGCGGCUGAGCGAAAGCGUUAAGUAAUCCACCUGGGGAGUACGUUCGCAAGAAUGAAACUCAAAUGAAUUGACGGGG
This 393-nucleotide ribosomal RNA is filed under the name uncultured bacterium. RNAcentral describes it as "partial 16S ribosomal RNA". It matches the Rfam family "Bacterial small subunit ribosomal RNA", at positions 523 to 918 of the family's 1533-position model. The record is from RNAcentral.